Long non-coding RNA from Centrocercus urophasianus (Greater sage-grouse), 275 nucleotides. RefSeq lists it as uncharacterized. The transcript is spliced from 3 exons. The record is from RefSeq and is a predicted model, not a curated record. NCBI's taxonomy places the organism in Eukaryota, Metazoa, Chordata, Aves, Galliformes, Phasianidae.
UAGAAAUGGCUCUGAUCAUUCUGCACAGACUGAAAAAAUGAACAGGGCUGUGAGGAAGUCACAAAGCAUUUUGUAUCAUCCCUGUAACAUUGAGAUCACUGUUACAUUCUGAGGGAAGUGCAAAGGUGUAUGGGAGGACAGAGCUUUCUCUUUGCACUCUGCAUGUUUGGCCGUAUAAAAGCAAAACCUCCUGAGAGCUGGACUCUACUCUUUCAAUUGGUGUUCACAAGAUGAGAGAAGGCUAUUUAGAGAGAAUGACUGUAUAAUCAGAAAAG